GAUCCGGCUGUUGUUGGUCGGCCGUAUAGGUCUGUACUCUUCUGGCCGGAUCUUUCCUUCUGGAAAACCAUCAUGCCAUUAAUUUGGUGUGAUGGCGAUCCAGGACUUUUACCUUGAAAAAAUUAGAGUGUUUAAAGCAGGCAUACGCUUGAAUACAUUAGCAUGGAAUAAUAGAAUAGG
This 180-nucleotide ribosomal RNA is filed under the name uncultured Glomeromycotina. RNAcentral describes it as "partial small subunit ribosomal RNA". The stretch from base 51 to 180 matches the Rfam family "Eukaryotic small subunit ribosomal RNA", at positions 694 to 826 of the family's 1831-position model. Lineage: Eukaryota; Fungi; Glomeromycota. The record is from RNAcentral.